GGGGAACAACAGCUGGAAACGGCUGCUAAUACCCCAUAGGCUGAGGAGCAAAAGGAGGAAUCCGCCCAAGGAGGGGCUCGCGUCUGAUUAGUUAGUUGGUGAGGCAAUGGCUUACCAAGGCGACGAUCAGUAGCUGGUCCGAGAGGAUGAUCAGCCACACUGGGACUGAGACACGGCCCAGACUCCUACGGGAGGCAGCAGUGGGGAAUUUUCCGCAAUGGGCGAAAGCCUGACGGAGCAAUGCCGCGUGAAGGCAGAAGGCCCACGGGUCAUGAACUUCUUUUCUCGGAGAAGAAAAAAUGACGGUAUCUGAGGAAUAAGCAUCGGCUAACUCUGUGCCAACAGCCGCGGUAAGACAGAGGAUGCAAGCGUUAUCCGGAAUGAUUGGGCGUAAAGCGUCUGUAGGUGGCUUUUCAAGUCCGCCGUCAAAUCCCA
RNAcentral lists this ribosomal RNA (435 nucleotides) under uncultured organism. RNAcentral's name for it is "bacterial SSU rRNA". It matches the Rfam family "Bacterial small subunit ribosomal RNA", at positions 138 to 604 of the family's 1533-position model. The record is from RNAcentral.